This 254-nucleotide ribosomal RNA is filed under the name uncultured bacterium. RNAcentral's name for it is "partial 16S ribosomal RNA". It matches the Rfam family "Bacterial small subunit ribosomal RNA", at positions 524 to 776 of the family's 1533-position model. The record is from RNAcentral.
UACGGGGGGAGCAAGCGUUGUUCGGAUUUACUGGGCGUAAAGGGCGCGUAGGCGGCCACCGCAAGUCGACUGUGAAAUCUCCGGGCUUAACCCGGAAAGGUCAGCCGAUACUGCGGGGCUAGAGUGCAGAAGGGGCAACUGGAAUUCUCGGUGUAGCGGUGAAAUGCGUAGAUAUCGAGAGGAACACCUGCGGCGAAGGCGGGUUGCUGGGCUGACACUGACGCUGAUGCGCGAAAGCUGGGGGAGCGAACGGG